AUGCAGCCAGAGAUGGAGGAUGAUUGCACCUACAGUAUUCCAGACAAGAAAGAAAUAUGGGAAACUCUCAAAGCAAUGAGAAGAAAUGCAUCACCUGGACCAGAUGGAUUCAAUGUGGAAUUUUACCUUGGAACAUGGGACUCGAUUGGAGAAGAUACAACGAAAUUGGUAAGAGAUUUCUAUAUGACUUGUUUUCUUCCUGCCCAUCUAAAUGAUACUCAUAUUACUCUCAUUCCAAAGAAGUUGUCACCAAUUGUUCCUCAAGAUUUUAGACCUAUUAGCUUAUGCAAUGUCAUUUAUAAAAUUAUAGCAAAAACCCUAGCUAAUAGGCUUAAAUCUCAUUUACCGGAUUACAUUCAUCAAACCCAGCAAGCUUUUAUUGAAGGCAGGAGGAUAAGCAACAAUAUCAUCAUUGCCCAGGAAAUUACUCAUUCUUUCACCCUUAAAUACUGGAAGGAUCCAGCUUUCAUGAUUAAAAUUGACUUAGCAAAAGCUUUUGAUAGAAUUGAAUGGAACUUUAUAAUGAGAGCUCUUAAUCGUAAAGGCUUACAUGGUCAUUUCAUAAACUUGAUUCAUGCUUGCAUUGCUGCUCCUAUAUUUUCGGUUAUCAUAAAUGGUCAAUCUUAUGGGCGUUUUCAAAGCAACCGAGGUAUAAGACAAGGUUGUCCUUUAUCUCCAUACUUAUUUGUCCUGGCUAUCAAUGAACUGUCUAUAUCCCUGCAAGAGGCUAUGUGCUCCAACUAUUUAACAGGGAUCUCUCUAGGGCCAGGAUGUCCUCCGAUCCAUUCUCUUAUGUUUGCUGACGAUUUGUUAAUAUGUGGACAAGCUACCAUUGUUGAGGCUACUCACAUGUAUAAUAUUCUUCAAAACUUUUGCGAUCUCUCUGGUCAAACUCCCAAUUGGAGCAAAUCGGGUAUAAUUUUCAGCCAAAAUGUUAGCAACACCACUAAAGAGGACAUUAAGAGGAUUUUUCCUGUAAUAGAUAUAAAUGAAAACUCAGUGCACUUAGGACACCCCUUAAUCCUCCCUGCUAAAGACAGAUCUGCUGCUUAUGAUUUUGUAGCCGAUAAAUUUCGUACUAAACUUACAGGCUAUAAAGCAAACAAACUUUCCCAUGCAGCAAGACUUACUCUCAUUACUUCUGUCUUUGCAUCAAUUCUUGUAUAUUACAUGUCUAAUAUCCUUUUUUCAAGGAAAUUGGUUGCAAAACUGACAGCCAUUAUAAGGAAUUUUUGGUGGACGGGAAUAAAAGAAGAGCCAACAACAAAAAUUAUUUGUCUCAGGGCUUGGAAGGACAUUUGUAUUCCAAAGUGUGAAGGAGGUUUAGGUAUUCGAAAUAUCCAAGCAAUGAAUAGAGGACUCAUUCUCUCAGCAGCUUGGAGAAUAGCAGAAAAUCCAGACAGCUUCUUGUUCAAAGUCCUAAAAUCCAAAUACCACCCAGACACUUCUAUAUGGAGGGCGAACUCCAGCAUCCCAAAAUCUGCCUUUUGGUCUUCUAUCUUAAAAGUUCACCAUAUCCUAUGCUCCAACUCCUUCAUUCAAAUCUUAGAUGGAAAUUCUUCAAUCUGGAGCACUCCUUGGUUCUCUCAUUGGCAAUCCAUUUAUGACCAUCUCAUAAUCCAGCCAAGGCACUAUAAUUAUCCGUCUCAAGUUAAAGAUCUCUGGAUUCCAGAUCAAAAGGCUUGGAAUGCUAAUCUAAUAUAUGGCCUUUUUGACCAACAAAUAGCUGAUAGUAUCAUGCAGGUUCCCAUCAUUAUGCAUGAAGGACCAAACAUUCUUUGCUGGAAACCUCAUUCAUCAGGGAAGUGCACCUCUAAAAGUGCUUACAAAGUCUGCAUGCAAGAUAUGCAGCAACAAGGAGAGCCAUCGCCCAGACAGGUACAAAAUGAAAUUAAACAACUCUUAAAGCAGGUAUGGAAAGAAAAAGGAAUAGCUCCCAGGGUGCAAACAUUUGCAUGGAGACUUCUAAGGAAAGCUAUACCAACAGGCAUGAGAGCAGGGAAGUACUCUUCCCAUAUCACGAAACAUUGUUCUAGAUGUGAUCAAGAAGAAAAUGAUAUGCACCUUUUUUUACCUACCCCUUUGCAAAAGCUGCAUGGUUCUCAGAGAUAUGGUUUAUUAAAAUAG
RNAcentral lists this ribosomal RNA (2127 nucleotides) under Triticum aestivum (bread wheat). RNAcentral describes it as "partial small subunit ribosomal RNA". The record is from RNAcentral. Lineage: Eukaryota; Viridiplantae; Streptophyta; Magnoliopsida; Poales; Poaceae.